Molecule: ribosomal RNA, 253 nt
Filed under: uncultured bacterium
Lineage: Bacteria
Description: partial 16S ribosomal RNA
Rfam family: Bacterial small subunit ribosomal RNA
Source: RNAcentral
UACGUAGGGGGCGAGCGUUAUCCGGAAUUACUGGGCGUAAAGCGCACGCAGGCGGUUCGCCAAGUUUGGAGUGACAGUUGUCGGCUCAACCGACAAAGGACUUCAAAAACUGGUGAACUUGAGGACGAGAGAGGAACAUGGAACUCCAGGUGUAGUAGUGAAAUGCGUAGAUAUCUGGAAGAACACCAAUGGCGAAGGCAAUGUUCUGGCUCGUUUCUGACGCUCAGGUGCGAAAGCCAGGGGAGCAAACAGG